Molecule: non-coding RNA, 1634 nt
Organism: Manis javanica (Malayan pangolin)
Lineage: Eukaryota; Metazoa; Chordata; Mammalia; Pholidota; Manidae
Source: RefSeq, a predicted model, not a curated record
AUUUCCUGUUAUUCUCGUAGCUGCCUCGGCGCUCUACAGCGGGUUCGCUCUGGACAGGCAUUUGAGGCGUGCCUGCUUCCUCUGGCAGGUGAGUGGGUUGGCGUUGUUCUUAGCGGCCGCCGAACCGCCUCACUUCCCGGGGUCUCCUAGUGCUUGAUGUUACCCCUGGAGUCACCGAAGCGAAGGAAUUGCACUGGAUUAGGCCAGGGUGGGCGAAUCUUCGCGGCUGCGGAGCCCCUCUGAGCACUUGGCCCGUCUCCUUGUGUUGGGAAUCUGGACCGCCUACGACAUCUCCAGUCCUCGGACACCAGCCCUUCCCGGGGAGCUUUCAGAGUCUGCACAGAAGCGAGGAGGUAUCAUCCUUGGCCAGAGCCCCGAGUGUGAGGCCGGAAUUGGAAUGGAAAGGUCUUCGCUUCUAAACCCCUGUUGUUUGAUGUGAAGCAACUGCCUUACUCUUGCUAAGCCUCAGUUUUUCCACCUGUUAAUGUGAGGAAGUUGGACUGUAUCAGCAAAUCUCGUUUUUCUCAGGUGAGCCCACCUCUCAGAUGGCAGGGCACUUUGACCAUCUCACUAAGGCCACGUAGAAUGGGUGAAGUACUUCUCCAAAGGAAAAAAUGGGUUGCUACUGCCCAAAGGAAGGGGUAGACGGGAUGCGCAGGCAAAAAUAACUAACAUCUCCUGUAGAUUUGGUGACAUCUGCUCACUGCUGCCCCCACAUCUGGAUCUCCUGCCCAGAUGUCUCCUGCCAGAUGCCUAGAGAGACAUGUCUCCUCAGCACCCCUCUGUGUCCUGUAUCCUGCUGGUCAUCGACGUGGGUGUCCCACAAACACUUGUAAAAUGUCAUGUGUUCAGCAUAGGGCCAGUUCUCUUUCCCACUGAGCCUAGUCUUCUAGCCUUUCCCGAUCCUUUCCGUUUCACUGAAUCAAAUUGAAUUUGAUUUACCGCCUCCCACCUGUCUGGCUCCUAGGUUAUUUAAUACCCACCCGCCCACCUCACCCCCAUACUCUGGAUCUAUUUUUAAUGUGUUAAUAUGUUACUUUUAUAACAAAAACUACUUUUAACAGAAGAAAAGUAUACCUCUCUAGGAAAUUUGGAAAAUAUAAAGAAAAGUGUAUGUCCUCAGCCCCAGCCCUCAGGGAGGCCCACUUUGUUGCAGUGCUGCAGAAUACCAGCCUGGCUCUGCUACAAGCCCUGCCUCACCACACCCUCCCCCUCUGUGGCCUUGGACACACUGCCCAAGCCCCUGUGCCUCCAUUUAUUCCUCUGAAAAGUGGGGACAGUGAUGGUACACAGGUCAGAGGACUUGGAGAGAAUUGAAGGAGUAAUAUGAUAGGACCCUAGGCUCGUGGUGAGCAUCCAGUAAAUAUUAGUUGCUAUCAUCAUCAUUAUUAUUUUAAAUGUAUGUAUUUCAAUUGCUGAUAAACUAUAAUUUUACAUUUUUUCAUUAUAUUUACUAUGUUGCAAAAUAUCCCUCAAAAACAUGAUUUUAAUGACCAUGUAAUAGUCCAUCAUUUAAACAUGUUCAUACUUUCUUCCACAGUUAACCAUCCCUCUAUUUUUGGACAAUUGGGGGCUGUGUGUGUGUGUGUAUAUGUUGGCUAUAGUAAAGAACUAUAAUAAAGAGCUGAAAAACA